Streptococcus uberis is the source of this 150-nucleotide non-coding RNA. NCBI's taxonomy places the organism in Bacteria, Bacillati, Bacillota, Bacilli, Lactobacillales, Streptococcaceae. The record is from Rfam.
AUCACACUUAAAUAAGAAGCACAUAGCAAUUUGAGAGGGGAAUCCCGAUUUACCAGUCUUUUAUAGCUUAUAGCGAUUUAAAGAAACUGAUAAAUUGAUUUGGUUUCCUGCCAAAAAUCCUGCCAAAUAUUUCUUGGCAGGAUUUUUAUU